ACUACGAGCUUUAGCUUAAAACCCAAAGGACUUGACGGUGUCCUACCCAACUAGAGGAGCCUGUUCUAUAAUCGAUAAUCCACGAUACACCUAACCACUUUUUGUUAAUCAGCCUGUAUACCUCCGUCGUAAGCCUACCGUAUGAACAUAUAAUAGUAGGCUCAAAGACUUAGCGCCACAACGUCAGGUCAAGGUGCAGCUUAUAAAAUGGAAGCAAUGGGCUACAAUUUCUAAACUAGAAUAAACGAAAUACUACAUGAAAUAUAGUCAUGAAGGAGGAUUUAGCAGUAAGUAGAAAAUAGAGAGUUUUACUAAAUUUGGCCCUAGGACGUGUACAAACCGCCCGUCACCCUCUUCAAUAGCCUUAACUAAGAUUAAUAACACUUUUUCGCGCCUUAGAAGAGGUAAGUCGUAACAUGGUAAGUAUACUGGAAAGUGUGCUUGGAAA
RNAcentral lists this ribosomal RNA (448 nucleotides) under Leptomantis gauni. Its description in RNAcentral is "Rhacophorus gauni partial 12S rRNA". It matches the Rfam family "Bacterial small subunit ribosomal RNA", at positions 879 to 1522 of the family's 1533-position model. Lineage: Eukaryota; Metazoa; Chordata; Amphibia; Anura; Rhacophoridae. The record is from RNAcentral.